This 48-nucleotide non-coding RNA is filed under the name Nomascus leucogenys (northern white-cheeked gibbon). The record is from RNAcentral. Lineage: Eukaryota; Metazoa; Chordata; Mammalia; Primates; Hylobatidae.
GUGUUACUGUCCAAUGAGCGCAUAGUGAGGGCAGUACUGCUAACACAU